This 380-nucleotide ribosomal RNA is filed under the name uncultured eukaryote. RNAcentral describes it as "partial 18S ribosomal RNA". It matches the Rfam family "Eukaryotic small subunit ribosomal RNA", at positions 592 to 976 of the family's 1831-position model. The record is from RNAcentral.
CAAUAGCGUAUAUUAAAGUUGUUGCAGUUAAAACGCUCGUAGUCGGAUUUCGGGGCGGGCCGACCGGUCUGCCGAUGGGUAUGCACUGGUCGGCGCGUCCUUCCUUCCGGAGACCGUCCCUACUCUUAACUGAGCGGGGGCGGGAGACGGGACUUUUACUUUGAAAAAAUCAGAGUGUUUCAAGCAGGCAGCUCGCUCUUGCAUGGAUUAGCAUGGGAUAAUGAAAUAGGACUUUGGUGCUAUUUUGUUGGUUUCGAACACCGAAGUAAUGAUGAGAAGGGACAGUCAGGGGCACUCGUAUUCCGCCGAGAGAGGUGAAAUUCUCAGACCAGCGGAAGACGAACCACUGCGAAAGCAUUUGCCAGGGAUGUUUUCACUGA